This 82-nucleotide transfer RNA is filed under the name Actinopolymorpha cephalotaxi. RNAcentral describes it as "tRNA_Leu_TAG". It matches the Rfam family "tRNA". Rfam says of the family: Transfer RNA (tRNA) molecules are approximately 80 nucleotides in length. Their secondary structure includes four short double-helical elements and three loops (D, anti-codon, and T loops). The record is from RNAcentral. Lineage: Bacteria; Bacillati; Actinomycetota; Actinomycetes; Propionibacteriales; Actinopolymorphaceae.
GCGAGAGUGGCGGAAUUGGCAGACGCGCCGGACUUAGGAUCCGGUGCCUUUGGGCGUGAGGGUUCGAGUCCCUUCUCUCGCA